This is a non-coding RNA of Pelobates cultripes (western spadefoot toad), 357 nucleotides long. Lineage: Eukaryota; Metazoa; Chordata; Amphibia; Anura; Pelobatidae. The record is from the annotation of a GenBank genome assembly.
CCCUAAGUUAUCCUUCAGUAUGGCAGAGCAGGCACCUUCUUACCUUGAUGACAAUUGCCUGUUGUACCAUCAAAUGCCAGUGACCGGAGAAGCCAGGAGAAGGCAGGCGGCGAGGGAGGCUGUUCUUGCGGCCUCUCACUCCUCUCUUGCGCCCAGGGUGGUAGGGAGGCUGAAUUUGCCUCAGAAAAUAAAAUUGUGUGAGUCUGUGUGCCAGUGAGUGUUUGACUGUCUGUGAAUGUGUGUGCCUGUCAGUGAGUGAGGGUAUGUCUGUCAUGCUGCAUUCAUCUUGCCAUCAAUUUUCACAAGCCUUUAGAGCUUACACUCUCCAAAACAUCAGUGAGCCAUCACCAUGCUUCA